RNAcentral lists this long non-coding RNA (240 nucleotides) under Mytilus galloprovincialis (Mediterranean mussel). Lineage: Eukaryota; Metazoa; Mollusca; Bivalvia; Mytilida; Mytilidae. The record is from RNAcentral.
CCGUGUGGAAUUGCUAUGAGAAUAUUACACCAAAUUCCAGCUUCCUCUACAAUUUUGUUCUAAUUGUCAAUCCUUAGUUUUUCUAUACAUUUAGAUGCGUAAGUUCUCUCUGUUUGAAUUUCUUGUUCAUUUGAGAGAAAAAAAACGAGAAAAAACCCACCAAAAUACAGAUGUUCCAUGAUCUUCUUCACCAUUUGUUUUACAUGUACCACAACUAACAUGGUCUGUAGAUUUACAAAU